RNAcentral lists this ribosomal RNA (497 nucleotides) under uncultured bacterium. RNAcentral describes it as "partial 16S ribosomal RNA". It matches the Rfam family "Bacterial small subunit ribosomal RNA", at positions 28 to 507 of the family's 1533-position model. The record is from RNAcentral.
GAUGAACGCUGGCGGCGUGCCUAAUACAUGCAAGUCGAGCGAACAGACGAGGAGCUUGCUCCUCUGACGUUAGCGGCGGACGGGUGAGUACCACGUGGAUAACCUACCUAUAAGACUGGGAUAACUUCGGGAAACCGGAGCUAAUACCGGAUAAUAUAUUGAACCGCAUGGUUCAAUAGUGAAAGACGGUUUUGCUGUCACUUAUAGAUGGAUCCGCGCCGCAUUAGCUAGUUGGUAAGGUAACGGCUUACCAAGGCGACGAUGCGUAGCCGACCUGAGAGGGUGAUCGGCCACACUGGAACUGAGACACGGUCCAGACUCCUACGGGAGGCAGCAGUAGGGAAUCUUCCGCAAUGGGCGAAAGCCUGACGGAGCAACGCCGCGUGAGUGAUGAAGGUCUUCGGAUCGUAAAACUCUGUUAUUAGGGAAGAACAAAUGUGUAAGUAACUAUGCACGUCUUGACGGUACCUAAUCAGAAAGCCACGGCUAACUACGUG